RNAcentral lists this ribosomal RNA (437 nucleotides) under uncultured Oscillospiraceae bacterium. RNAcentral describes it as "bacterial SSU rRNA". It matches the Rfam family "Bacterial small subunit ribosomal RNA", at positions 341 to 792 of the family's 1533-position model. Lineage: Bacteria; Bacillati; Bacillota; Clostridia; Eubacteriales; Oscillospiraceae. The record is from RNAcentral.
ACGGGAGGCAGCAGUGGGGAAUAUUGGGCAAUGGGCGAAAGCCUGACCCAGCAACGCCGCGUGAAGGAAGAAGGUCUUCGGAUUGUAAACUUCUUUUAUGAGGGACGAAGGACGUGACGGUACCUCAUGAAUAAGCCACGGCUAACUACGUGCCAGCAGCCGCGGUAAUACGUAGGUGGCAAGCGUUAUCCGGAUUUACUGGGUGUAAAGGGCGCGUAGGCGGGAGAGCAAGUCAGAUGUGAAAUCUAUGGGCUUAACCCAUGAACUGCAUUUGAAACUGUUCUUCUUGAGUGCUGGAGAGGUAGACGGAAUUCCUUGUGUAGCGGUGAAAUGCGUAGAUAUAAGGAAGAACACCAGUGGCGAAGGCGGUCUACUGGACAGUAACUGACGCUGAGGCGCGAAAGCGUGGGGAGCAAACAGGAUUAGAUACCCUGGUA